UGCCAGACUCCUACGGGAGGCAGCAGUGGGGAAUAUUGCACAAUGGGGGAAACCCUGAUGCAGCAACGCCGCGUGAGUGAGGAAGUAUUUCGGUAUGUAAAGCUCUAUCAGCAGAGAAUAGAAAAGAAGGUACCUGAAAAAGAAGCCCCGGCUAACUACGUGCCAGCAGCCGCGGUAAUACGUAGGGGGCAAGCGUUAUCCGGAUUUACUGGGUGUAAAGGGAGCGUAGACGGAAAGGCAAGUCAGAAGUGAAAGCCCAAGGCUCAACCAUGGGACUGCUUUUGAAACUGUUCAACUGGAGUGCUGGAGAGGUAAGCGGAAUUCCUAGUGUAGCGGUGAAAUGCGUAGAUAUUAGGAGGAACACCAGUGGCGAAGGCGGCUUACUGGACAGUAACUGACGUUGAGGCUCGAAAGCGUGGGGAGCAAACAGGAUUAGAUACCCCUGUA
RNAcentral lists this ribosomal RNA (447 nucleotides) under uncultured bacterium. Its description in RNAcentral is "bacterial SSU rRNA". It matches the Rfam family "Bacterial small subunit ribosomal RNA", at positions 329 to 792 of the family's 1533-position model. The record is from RNAcentral.